This 468-nucleotide ribosomal RNA is filed under the name uncultured bacterium. RNAcentral's name for it is "partial 16S ribosomal RNA". It matches the Rfam family "Bacterial small subunit ribosomal RNA", at positions 28 to 507 of the family's 1533-position model. The record is from RNAcentral.
GACGAACGCUGGCGGCGUGCUUAACACAUGCAAGUCGAACGGAAAGGCCCUGCUUUUGUGGGGUGCUCGAGUGGCGAACGGGUGAGUAACACGUGAGUAACCUGCCCUUGACUUUGGGAUAACUUCAGGAAACUGGGGCUAAUACCGGAUAGGAGCUCCUGCUGCAUGGUGGGGGUUGGAAAGUUUCGGCGGUUGGGGAUGGACUCGCGGCUUAUCAGCUUGUUGGUGGGGUAGUGGCUUACCAAGGCUUUGACGGGUAGCCGGCCUGAGAGGGUGACCGGCCACAUUGGGACUGAGAUACGGCCCAGUCUCCUACGGGAGGCAGCAGUCGGGAAUAUUGCACAAUGGGCGGACGCCUGAUGCAGCAACGCCGCGUGCGGAAUGACGGCCUUCGGGUUGUAAACCGCUUUCGCCUGUGACGAAGCGUGAGUGACGGUAAUGGGUAAAGAAGCACCGGCUAACUACGUG